AUGGGCUCCGCCAAGUCCUCCAAAUCCUCCAAGAAGCGGAAACCCGUCGCCCCGCCGCCAGAGUCGGACUCCGAGCAGGAGGAGACGGUCCACGAGGCCGCCGCUGCCGACGAAUUCAACCAAGAGGAGCAGCCGCAGCCGCAGCAGCAGUCGGACGCAGGAGACGAGCACCAUGAGCAUGACAAGGAGGUGCAGGAGACGGGAAUGGAGAAAAAGAAGAAGAAGGACAAGGAGGGUUCGGGAAUCCUCACCAGCAUGCUCUUCUCGGAGCUCCCCAUCUCCGAGCUCACCGCCAAGGCCAUCAGGGAGAUGAACUACACCCACCUCGCCCAGAUUCAAGCUCGGUCGAUACCUCAUCUGCUGGAAGGAAGGGAUGUGAUGGGAGCUGCCAAGACUGGCUCAGGGAAGACCCUUGCGUUCCUCAUACCGGCUAUCGAGCUUCUCUAUAACCUGCAUUUCUCGCCGAGGAAUGGCACAGGAGUUAUUGUGGUUUGCCCUACAAGGGAGCUUGCCAUACAGACACACAAUGUUGCCAAGGAAUUGAUGAAGUAUCACUCACAAACCCUCGGAUAUGUAAUUGGUGGUAAUGGCCGGAGAACUGAAGCUGACCAGCUUGCAAAGGGGGUCAAUUUGUUAGUAGCUACACCAGGCAGGCUGUUGGAUCAUCUGCAAAACACCAAGGGUUUCAUAUAUAAGAGACUAAAGUGUCUUAUAAUUGAUGAAGCUGAUCGCAUUCUUGAGCAGAACUUUGAGGAAGAUAUGAAACAAAUAUUUAAACGCCUUCCCCAGAAUCGGCAGACAGUUCUUUUUUCUGCGACACAAACUAAAGAGGUUGAAGAUUUUGCCAAGUUGUCAUUUGAGAAAAACGAAGAAAGGAAAGAAAAACCUGUUUAUAUCUCAGUUGAUGAUGGUAAAUCAAAUGCUACCGUGGAAGGCUUACAGCAGGGCUAUUGUGUCAUUCCUAGCGACAAGAGGUUUUUGGUUCUGUAUGCUUUCCUAAAAAAGAAACAGUCUAAGAAGGUCAUGGUGUUCUUUUCAUCAUGUAGCUCAGUAAAGUUCCAUGCCGAGCUUCUAAAUUUUCUCCAGAUAGGGUGCGAAGAUAUCCAUGGGAGACAAAAACAGCAGAAACGAACUACAACAUUCUUUAACUUCUGCAAGGCAGAAAAGGGCAUCUUAUUAUGCACUAAUGUGGCAGCACGUGGACUUGAUAUUCCUGAUGUGGAUUAUAUUGUGCAAUAUGACCCUCCAGAUGAACCAAAGGAUUACAUUCACAGAGUUGGUCGUACUGCACGUGGUGAAAAAGGCAAAGGAAGCGCCUUAUUGUUCUUGUUGCCGCAAGAACUGAAGUUUCUUAUUUACCUGAAGGCAGCCAAGAUUUCUCUCACAGAAUACGAGUUCAAUAAUAAGAAUGUGCCAAAUUUACAAUCACACCUUGAGAACAUCGUUGGUGAGAAUUACUUCCUAAACCAGUCAGCUAAAGAAGCCUACAGAUCCUACAUCUUGGCAUACAACUCACACGCCAUGAAGGACAUUUUUAAUGUUCAUGAUCUUGAUAUGAAGGCUGUGGCAGCAUCAUUCUGUUUUAAGAACCCUCCAAAAGUGAACCUUGACUUGGAGAGCAGCGCUUCUAAACGUCGGAAGACAAGGAAAGUGGAUGGUGGGGCGAGGAGGCAUGGUAUCAAUGCCGCAAAUCCUUAUGGACGGAAGGGCGGUGAUGAUAACAGGCAAUUCGCAAGAUUCUAG
Molecule: ribosomal RNA, 1743 nt
Filed under: Triticum aestivum (bread wheat)
Lineage: Eukaryota; Viridiplantae; Streptophyta; Magnoliopsida; Poales; Poaceae
Description: partial small subunit ribosomal RNA
Source: RNAcentral